UACGUAGGGCGCGAGCGUUAUCCGGAAUUAUUGGGCGUAAAGGGCUCGCAGGCGGUUUGCCGCGUCUGCUGUGAAAUCCCGGGGCUUAACUCCGGGUGUGCAGUGGGUACGGGCAGACUAGAGUGCAGUAGGGGAGACUGGAAUUCCUGGUGUAGCGGUGAAAUGCGCAGAUAUCAGGAAGAACACCGAUGGCGAAGGCAGGUCUCUGGGCUGUUACUGACGCUGAGGAGCGAAAGCAUGGGGAGCGAACAGG
This 253-nucleotide ribosomal RNA is filed under the name uncultured bacterium. RNAcentral describes it as "partial 16S ribosomal RNA". It matches the Rfam family "Bacterial small subunit ribosomal RNA", at positions 524 to 776 of the family's 1533-position model. The record is from RNAcentral.